UUCGGCCGUUAAAGAAUUCAAUUUUAUCUUGUUGAACAGAUAGAACAGGAUAAUGAAGAUUGUCGUGUAAUGUAUAAGGAGGGACCCGCUGGUACUCCGUUUCAUAAGUUACUUGUGGAAGGAUAUUUAGACGGGCCUCUAGACGUUUGUAAGUUUGAUUAAGGCAUUUCAUGCAUUUGUCCACACCGAUUUUUGUUUAUAUAGUAUGUUUGUAAACAGGCAUGUGCGUAACGUAGGAGGCGGGACUUUACCCGAAAUGAUUGAAAAGUUGAACUUAGUUAUCAAAGAGCUCGUUAAGGAAAAAGAUGAAGAAAAAGAAAGGUUCAAUGGAAUUAUUGCGGGAUUGUUGGCUGAAAAAGAAAAAGAUAAGGUGGAUAAAGAUGCUAUGCAUGAUAGGAUGUCACAAAUUGAAGCUAUGUUAAUAGCUUCAGUUCGAAAAUAUGCUAUAAACACUUGUUUUGAAUGUUUAGAUAUUUAUCUUAUUAGGAUAAUUUUAGUUAUUUUAUGUUUUAGUUUGUAUUUAUUAUAUGCUUUUGAAAA
This is a long non-coding RNA of Helianthus annuus (common sunflower), 540 nucleotides long. RefSeq lists it as uncharacterized. The record is from RefSeq and is a predicted model, not a curated record. Lineage: Eukaryota; Viridiplantae; Streptophyta; Magnoliopsida; Asterales; Asteraceae. The transcript has 2 exons.